This 281-nucleotide long non-coding RNA is filed under the name Brassica napus (rape). RNAcentral's name for it is "long non-coding RNA (BNAP_LNC004473)". The record is from RNAcentral. Lineage: Eukaryota; Viridiplantae; Streptophyta; Magnoliopsida; Brassicales; Brassicaceae.
AAAAUACAGUAUGAUACACAAGAAAGAGAAACAAACAAUACAGCUUUUAAAAGACAGGCGAUGGAAGGAGAAAGCACGUUGAAUAAUCUUCAAUGGAGUGAUUGCAGAAGCAAGAUAGUGGAGUUAGACCACAGACCAGAAAGCAAGAAGUUCACUUCCCAAAUUCCUUCCUGAAUUCUUCAGAGCAAUAGCCUUGGACCUUGCUAUACAAAUAGCAACUUCAGAAUUUUUAAUGGUGGGGCAGUUGUUCCCAGAUGGAAACGUGAAUUCCGCUCUUUCCA